GAGGGUAUAGCUCAGUGGUAGAGUGGGUGCUUUGCAUGCACUAGGUCCUGCCAGUACCUCCA
Molecule: transfer RNA, 62 nt
Filed under: Camelus bactrianus (Bactrian camel)
Lineage: Eukaryota; Metazoa; Chordata; Mammalia; Artiodactyla; Camelidae
Also listed under: 3 other names
Rfam family: tRNA
About the family: Transfer RNA (tRNA) molecules are approximately 80 nucleotides in length. Their secondary structure includes four short double-helical elements and three loops (D, anti-codon, and T loops).
Source: Rfam by way of RNAcentral